This 496-nucleotide ribosomal RNA is filed under the name uncultured bacterium. RNAcentral describes it as "partial 16S ribosomal RNA". It matches the Rfam family "Bacterial small subunit ribosomal RNA", at positions 29 to 507 of the family's 1533-position model. The record is from RNAcentral.
AUGCACGCUGGCGGCGUGCCUCAUACAUGCAAGUCGCGCGCACAGACGAGGAGCUUGCUCCUCUGACGUUAGCGGCGGACGGGUGAGUAACACGUGGAUAACCUACCUAUAAGACUGGGAUAACUUCGGGAAACCGGAGCUAAUACCGGAUAAUAUAUUGAACCGCAUGGUUCAAUAGUGAAAGACGGUUUUGCUGUCACUUAUAGAUGGAUCCGCGCCGCAUUAGCUAGUUGGUAAGGUAACGGCUUACCAAGGCGACGAUGCGUAGCCGACCUGAGAGGGUGAUCGGCCACACUGGAACUGAGACACGGUCCAGACUCCUACGGGAGGCAGCAGUAGGGAAUCUUCCGCAAUGGGCGAAAGCCUGACGGAGCAACGCCGCGUGAGUGAUGAAGGUCUUCGGAUCGUAAAACUCUGUUAUUAGGGAAGAACAAAUGUGUAAGUAACUAUGCACGUCUUGACGGUACCUAAUCAGAAAGCCACGGCUAACUACGUG